RNAcentral lists this ribosomal RNA (253 nucleotides) under uncultured bacterium. RNAcentral's name for it is "partial 16S ribosomal RNA". It matches the Rfam family "Bacterial small subunit ribosomal RNA", at positions 524 to 776 of the family's 1533-position model. The record is from RNAcentral.
UACGUAGGGAGCAAGCGUUGUCCGGAAUCAUUGGGCGUAAAGCGCGCGUAGGUGGCCAUGUAAGUCCGCUGUGAAAGUCAAAGGCUCAACCUUUGAAAGCCGGUGGAUACUGCAUGGCUAGAGUACGGAAGAGGCGAGUGGAAUUCCUGGUGUAGCGGUGAAAUGCGCAGAUAUCAGGAGGAACACCGAUUGCGAAGGCAGCUCGCUGGGACGUUACUGACGCUGAGACGCGAAAGCGUGGGGAGCAAACAGG